GGGGAAUAUUGCGCAAUGGGGGGAACCCUGACGCAGCAACGCCGCGUGAGCGAGGAAGGCCUUCGGGUCGUAAAGCUCUGUCAUUAGGGACGAAGUAAGUGACGGUACCUAAGGAGGAAGCCCCGGCUAACUACGUGCCAGCAGCCGCGGUAAUACGUAGGGGGCGAGCGUUGUCCGGAAUUACUGGGCGUAAAGGGCGUGUAGGCGGCCGGUUAAGUCAGAUGUGAAAGGCCUCGGCUUAACCGAGGCAUUGCAUUUGAAACUGGCCGGCUUGAGUGCAGGAGAGGAAAGUGGAAUUCCUAGUGUAGCGGUGAAAUGCGUAGAUAUUAGGAGGAACACCAGUGGCGAAGGCGACUUUCUGGACUGCAACUGACGCUGAGGCGCGAAAGCGUGGGUAGCGAAC
RNAcentral lists this ribosomal RNA (403 nucleotides) under uncultured bacterium. Its description in RNAcentral is "bacterial SSU rRNA". It matches the Rfam family "Bacterial small subunit ribosomal RNA", at positions 356 to 773 of the family's 1533-position model. The record is from RNAcentral.